GUAUUGCUGAAGAGUCCCAAAUCAGUGCGACGAAACAGCUGUCCAGUAC
Molecule: non-coding RNA, 49 nt
Filed under: Trichobilharzia regenti
Lineage: Eukaryota; Metazoa; Platyhelminthes; Trematoda; Strigeidida; Schistosomatidae
Source: RNAcentral